Molecule: long non-coding RNA, 1242 nt
Organism: Homo sapiens (human)
Lineage: Eukaryota; Metazoa; Chordata; Mammalia; Primates; Hominidae
Product: long intergenic non-protein coding RNA 710
Source: Ensembl
AGAUACGCCCCUUGGAUGCCUGCAGAGAAGCUCUGGGGCUUCAGUCAAUGACUCAGGGUAGCCACCGAACAUGAUGCUCGGGCAGUGGGUGCCACCUGGACUCCACUCUCCCCUCUCUCUGGGAUCAUAGAGUCCAAGGUGUUCUGUGGCCUCUCGGCCAAUCCCAGCAGCUCAGCGUGCAGAAGACCGAGGAGCCAUUGCAAGGACAGCAAAGCCUUCCAGACCUGCCUGUGACAUGCACUGCACAUUCUAAAGAUGCCUAUGCAAUGGAAAACACCACUGUCUGCUCCAGCACAGCUGCCAUUCUUCCAUCUUAUCGACCUUAAUGCAACAACUCCUCACAGGCAGAGAUUUUAAAAUGUGUUCUUGGCAGAAGAGAGACUCAAAGAUGGGACAAAUGUGUCAUUUAAAUGCCUGUUAAAAUGGAAACAGACAUAGUAUAGUCAGAGGAUUGUGGCAGCUAAGAACAUAGUCUCUGGAGCAAAUCUGCAUGGGUGGCAAUGCCAAGCACAUGAGGUCCUAGUUGUAUGAACUUAGGAAAAGAAAAAGAGAACAUAUAUCCCCCUACCUUUUGAUUUCCAACAGUCUACUGAGAGGCCAAGAUUAUUUGCAGGGAAAGAAAAGGGGUCAAAAUGUUUUGCCAGUAACUCCCAAAUCAUCUACAGCCAAGGAGAAAAGUGUUUCAAGACAGAGGUGCUCAAUGGUAUCAAAUACUGCCAACAGACCAAGUAAUACAUGCAUUGAAGUGUCUACUGGAUCUAGCUAUAUGAAUUUUUAAUUUAGGACACUUAGGCCAUACUGAAGCAAGGUGACAAAAUGAAUAGCUACAAUGUCUCGUGAAUCUUGGGUUUCCAUUCACCCUGGUAUUCAAGAGAAAUUCUUGCAUCAUGGAAGUUGCAGUUGGAUAGGACUUUCUCAGCUGAACACUGUCAUCUGCCAGAGCUUCAGGCAAGAACCCAGAACAGAUGAAACCCCAGACAUGACAAAAUAAGCCAAAGAAUACCAGGCCAAGGUGUGAAAGGCCAGAUGAGAACAAGCAGCGUACACGAUUCUGUUGCCAACAGAUCUCCCCUAACAGUGUCGUGCACCAAAUUUCCACAGUGAAUGUCAGGAAAAAAUGGCAAUUGAGGUGGGUGGUCAAAAGAGAAGCACAGUCUAUGAUGAAGUCACCCCAGAGAAGUCCUUUUUCCGUUUUCUCCUGAGAAAUUACCAGAAGAAAUUAAAAUCCUUUUGAGUAUUGCA